Molecule: long non-coding RNA, 2889 nt
Organism: Solanum lycopersicum (tomato)
Lineage: Eukaryota; Viridiplantae; Streptophyta; Magnoliopsida; Solanales; Solanaceae
Source: RefSeq, a predicted model, not a curated record
AAUUCAUUUAUGUUAGUAAUUUAUCUAUUAGAUAAAAUUAACUAUUUUAAUAAUUUUCUUUCAAAAGAGAGCAAUGUGAUCAUUUUGAGUAAACUCAAAACUUUUACUAGGAUGGUCAUUUAUGAAAUUGUAUAUAUGUUUUUAGAUUUUGUUUUUUAAUAUUUCACUACUUAUUUUUAAAAUGGGCUUAAUUAUUUUUUUUAAGAAAACUUUUUAUCGUCAUAUAUAUAUAUAUAUAUAUAUAUAUCCCUUAUUUAGAAAUGGGACUUGGGUAAGGACUAACACAACUUUAAAAAUUGAUACUAAAAACAUUUAAAGUUGUACUAUAAUAUUUCCUUAUUUAUAAGUGGGACUUGGGUUGAGACUAACACAACUUUAAAAAUUGAUACUAAAAGCAUUUCAAUUAUAUAUAUAUAACUUAUUUAUAAGUGGAUCUUGGGUUGGGACUAACACACCUUUAAAUAUUGAUACUAAAAGCAUUUCAAGUAUAUAUAUAUAUAGCUCUUAUUUAGAAGUGGGACUUGGGUUAGGACUGACACAACUUUAAAAAUUAAUAUUAAAAGCAUUUCAAGCUGUAUUAUAAUAUUUCCUUAUUUAGAAGUGAGACUUGGGUUGGGACUAGCAACUUUAAAAAUUGAUACUAAAAGUAUUUCAAGCUGUACUAUACUAUGGCAGAAAAUUUUUGUACCUUUAGCAUUAGGUGUUUGUACCUUUUUACAACUAUGCAUUCGUUUCUUUAUCCUCUCCCAUGUAACACGUGUAAUUGCAUUGUCUUCAUCAAAGCACAUGUAUAAUUGAACAAAAUAAGCAUACAUCUCACUACCAUCCUUCAAAGAUUGAAAUUGGGUCUCACUUCUUCGAAGCUUCAAAUUUCAAAGAAAAUCCGGCAAAGUAGACAAGCUGAAUUUGGUCUCGAAGGGAUUGCUUUCCACAACAUGGAAUAGAAUAUGUACUUUUUCUGAUACCUCAUCUCAUUGCAUGUUCUAAUGAUGUUGUCUUUUGGUUCCAUUUGAAAGUUUAUGGGCAUCGAAAUCUCAGCUGGGUAGGAAAUACCGUCAUUAGGUAUUUUAAUUCUAUGAUUGUUUUUGGUUUUUGUUCCAAUUUUUCCUUAAUUUAGGAUUUAUACCACUUAGGUUAGAGAACAUCAUAGAAACAACCUCUCUGCAUUUCAAGGUAAGAGUAAAAUUACUAACAUGGGUUGUGGUAAAGGGUGGAAAUUUUCAUACUCAACCAGAAGUUUCGUGUUCGAGCCUCGGAUAUAGAGAAAAUUUUAUUGGGAGCGCCACCCCAGAAUGGUGCGAUUUGGAUUUAAUCGCAGAUCCAAUGUAGGCUCCGGACACCGAGUGGGAAACUGAUAAAAGGUAAGGGUAAAAUUAGUAUGUUAUAGUUGUAGACUUUAAUAUAUCAUUCAUAGUCUAUGAUUGCGGUUCUUUGAAUAGUCUUGUAAUCUUGUGUUCUCCUAAAAGUUUUCACCCUCACCAAAUUCUCGACAUUUUUCUUAUUUAAUGUCCUUUUCCUUGUUACGAUUUCAGGUUAUAUACUUUGCUUGGCUGGAGUAGUAUGGUUAGAUUCUUCUGCAUAGACUUUUAGAAAUCAAUAAGUCACACAAUUAUGAAUUAUUUUGAUAGACUAAGGCGAUAUCUUUGAUAUAGAAUUAGGGGCGUUGCGACUUUAAGAACAAGAUUAAAAUUAUUUUGAUGAAUGGUGGUUAGCAUGUACAUGAAUAUAGCCGGUUCGUACCUAUUUUACUCAUAUUCUAUAUUGUUCUUUCUUCUGCUAAUGGUUGAAUGCUUAAUCUCCAUUUUUUUUAUCUAAGGGUAAUAUUUAUAUCUAGGAUAAGUCUUUGUUGAGUUGAAAUCAAAUGUUUCUCAUCAAAAUAUGUGAAUCUUCGGAAGAUUUGAUUGAAGGAUUUUUGUGCUUGAUUUCUUCCCAGAUAUGAGGAAUUGUUCUCUGUCACUGGUGAAUUAUGUUGUAAAAAUUUUGAUAAAAAAAAGUACCUCAUUGUAGAUGGGUUAACUAACUCUAAAAAUUUACAACUACUAAAUUUCAUUUGCAGUGAAAAAUGACCUUCCACGAGCAAGGGAAACAAAGAGGUCGACAAACUACAUCUAUUAUUAAUCAUAGACCACUUGCACCUGCUAUUUCAUGGGACCAAAGAGCUUUAGGUGAACCACUUUCAUACAGUGAUAUUUUACGACUUCUCGAGUCCGCUGUAGAGCAGUUUGCUCCACCUAAUUUACAAGCUUAAUUGAUCGCGGAAAAGUCUCAUUUGCAGGUGGAAAAAACCAUCAAAAUGUUUGCAAAUGCAAAUGGAGACUUUUUAAGGUUCAAGUGAAGGAGGAUGGAAAGGACGGCAAACAAACUACUAUCUGAUCUACGAGUAGUUCAUAUUGAGAGGUUAUGAUGCACCAAACUCGGAGGGUUAUUGUUGUUGAGUUAAAUAUCGUCCAAUUUAUGGCAAGGGAAUGCGAUUGCUUUUGUGAAAUGUUUCAGCUAAGUCACUUCAUCCAUGAUUUUUUCUCCUUUUAAUGCUAGAGAAUCAAAUAGGGAAUAUGCCUAUUUACUACGGAGACGAAGAAUCAGUGAUACCUAGCCCUCCAUAUACCUGCAAUUUCACAAAAGAAUUGAAGACAAUGAGGAAGAUGAUCAUCAACAGAUCUUUGGAGCUCUCCUUUGUGUUAAAUAUAGUGUUCAGGGGGAUAAAAUGUAUUAUGAUUUAUUUUGGUUUGACUAAGGUAUUAGGAAAUAAUCAUAUAUGACUAUAUUUAUGUGAUUAUUAUAUGCUCGAUUGAGUUGUAUAAAUUUUAAUUUUUCAAGUGAUAAAAACAUGAAAUUUCCUUCCAAUCAUAUUUCUCAACUAUGUUGGGCCGUGCAUAGCACGAGCAAUCA